Molecule: long non-coding RNA, 1501 nt
Organism: Ahaetulla prasina
Lineage: Eukaryota; Metazoa; Chordata; Lepidosauria; Squamata; Colubridae
Exons: 4
Source: RefSeq, a predicted model, not a curated record
GGCUUACUAAACCAAACCAGGAAUGUCACCCAAUUGUCAGUUCGCUUUCCCUGAAUCGCACUUCAGUUUCUGAGCGUGUGACUCGCAAAGACUUUUGAACUUCCUGGCCUCUGGGACUGCGUUGCCAAUUCAUUGGAAGUCUUAAAAAAUAGGGCGAAGGCAAAGCUUGUGCCAAAAUGAAGGUUUUUGCCCUGAUCGUUUUGCUGAUCAGCAUCUGCUAUGUACAAGGUGGCUUAGUGAAACGGCAAGCGGAGACAGGACCCGAGGGUGGAGUCGAAGUCAUCUGGUUCCCUCAGUUCACUGAACGCAGACAAGAACCCCAGCGAUUGCCUUCACCCUUGGACAGACCUCAGGAAGCCAGACUAGAGAUUCUUAAAAUAAGGUUUAAAGAAUAGAAUAGAAUAGAAUAGAAUAGAAUAGAAUAGAAUAGAAUAGAAUAGAAUAGAAUAGAAUAGAAUAGAAUAGAAUACAGUAGAGUAGAGUAGAGUAGAGUAGAAUUUUGGAAUAGAAUUUUGGAAUAGACUAGACUAGAAUUUUAGAAUAGAAUAGAAUUGAAUUUUCGAAUAGAAUAUAGAAUAGAAUUUUAGGAUAGAAUUGAAUUGAACUGAAUUUUGGAAUAGAAUAUAGAAUAGAAUAGAAUUUUGGAAUAGAAUAGAAUAGAAUUUUGGAAUAGAAUAGAACAGAAUAGAAUAGAAUUUUGGAAUAGAAUAGAAUAGAAUAGAAUUUUGAAAUAGAAUAUAGAAUAGAAUAGAAUUUUAGAAUAGAGUAGAAUUGAAUUUUGGAAUAGAAUAGAAUAAAAUUUUGGAAUAGAAUAUAGAAUAGAAUAGAAUUUUAGAAUAGAAUUGAAUUGAAUUUUGGAAUAGAAUAUAGAAUAGAAUAGAAUUUUGGAAUAGAAUAGAACAGAAUAGAAUAGAAUUUUGGAAUAGAGUAGAAUUGAAUUUUGGAAUAGAAUAUAGAAUAUAGAAUAGAACAGAACAGAAAAGAACAGAACAGAAUAGAAUAGAAUUUUGGAAUAGAAUAGAAUAGAACAGAAUUUUAGAACAGAACAGAACAGUUGGAAGGGACCUUGGCGGUCUUCUAGUCCAGCCCCCUGCUCAACCACAACCAUCAUAAAUACAAACUAGUUGUCAAGCAUCCAAACGCAAAUCCCGUGACCCUGGGGGAAUGCUGCAACAGUCAUUCGUGUGGGGGGAAAAAACAGUCAUAAUUCACUUUUUUCAGUGCAGUUGUGACUUCGAACGGUCCCUAAAAGAAUUGCAGGACAGCGCUCCAGCAAGUCCAGGACAGCUUUAACCCUCUCACCGGACAGGUGAGGCAAAAUGUGGGCCGACAGUUCACCAUACCUGGUUAGACUCAGCAAGGCGACGAAGAAGGCGUAGAUUCUUCUCAAAAUGGAGUUCUCCGUUUCCUUCGGUCUAUUUAUCAAAAUCCUGGCACUUUUCCCUGAAUCGAAACUGUUGAGACCCUAAGACUGGUCGCAAUAAAGAUAAAUCGGUUCUUC